This 516-nucleotide ribosomal RNA is filed under the name uncultured Pseudomonadota bacterium. Its description in RNAcentral is "bacterial SSU rRNA". It matches the Rfam family "Bacterial small subunit ribosomal RNA", at positions 387 to 896 of the family's 1533-position model. Lineage: Bacteria; Pseudomonadati; Pseudomonadota. The record is from RNAcentral.
UCCAGCGACGCCGCGUGUGUGAAGAAGGCCUGCGGGUUGUAAAGCACUUUUAGUGGGAUGAAAAGUACAUCGACUAAUACCGGUGUAUCUGACCUAACCCAAAGAAAAAGCACGGCUAACUCUGUGCCAGCAGCCGCGGUAAUACAGAGGGUGCGAGCGUUAAUCGGAAUUACUGGGCGUAAAGCGUGCGUUAGACGGUUAUUUAAGUCGGGUGUGAAAGCCCCGGGCUCAACCUGGGAAUUGCAUUCGAGACUGAAUAGCUAGGGUACGGUAGAGGGAAGCGGAAUUUCCGGUGUAGCGGUGAAAUGCGUAGAUAUCGGAAGGAACAUCAGUGGCGAAAGCGGCUUCCUGGACCAGUACCGACGUUCAGGCACGAAAGCGUGGGGAGCAAACAGGAUUAGAUACCCUGGUAGUCCACGCCAUAAACGAUGAGGACUAGACGUUGGAGGGGUAAGCCUUUCAGUGUCGUAGCUAACGCGCUAAGUCCUCCGCCUGGGGAGUACGGCCGCAAGGUUG